Rattus norvegicus (Norway rat) is the source of this 2094-nucleotide non-coding RNA. The record is from RefSeq and is a predicted model, not a curated record. Lineage: Eukaryota; Metazoa; Chordata; Mammalia; Rodentia; Muridae.
CAGAGAGGCAGCAAAGGCACACAGCUGACCUUCCUCCUCGACUGACAUCCCAUAAGGAAAGAGCUUCUUCUCCUUCUCCACAGUGUCUUAAAAACCUUUCAAACCAAACAUCACUCCUUUCUACCUCCUGUGAGUCUCUCUAUGAAUCUUCCUGACUUCCUCCCACUCUCUAUGGUUUUUCCUAUAUUCACUCCUUGUCAACUCAUUGUUUGCUCUGCCUCUUGACUUAUGGUUGACUUUUUAAAAUCACCACUGUCCUGUCCUGAGCCUGGUCAUGAGCUGUCUUCCCCAUAGGCUCACUGUGGCUCUAGCUGUCUCUGCAGUGUGGAACACAAGCAUAUGUGGCCACACUUGGGUGCACACUGACUUGUAUCAUUCAUUCCUGUAAGAUAUCGUUCUCUAAUGCAACUGAACAGUGAUUGUGCAAUGUUUUGCAGUCUCCACUUUGAAUAAUUUCUGAAAACCUGAUAUCAAAGAUUAAAAUGACUGUUCCAAUGGGGUAUAAUGGUGGAAUAUGCUAUAUGAUAGGAAAAUAAAUGGUUUUCUAUGUCAGUGCUUACCAGUAGCAUGGUUUGUGUAAAAAUUUUUUCAAUUGGAAUUGAGCAAAAUUUUUCUAAAAAUACUAUUUCGAUUAGCUAACAAAAGAAAGGAAGGAAGGAAGGAAGGAAGGGAGGAAGGAAGGAAGGAAGGAAGGAGGAAAGAAACUGUUUUCUAUACCCAAAGCAUCACCGUCUGUUGGGGGUAAAAGGACAAGUUCUGACCAAACCUGACUAAAAUCCUGGAAUUACAGCCUAGGGAGGAUUCAAUUUUAAAGUCACCUGCACUAGCAUCAAAUGUCACAGCGAGGUAUUAAGUCUAUGGUGGCAUCCACACUUGCAUGUAGCUCAGGGUUAAUGACCUCCAUGAUUUUGAAUCACGCUGAGCUGAACAACUGUGCCACCAUUCAACAAGCCUGAUCUCUCCCAGGAUCUGUAGCUUUGAGUGUCUGACAGUGGUAAUAGUGCGGGCCAAGUUGUCCAUUGGUUCCUGGUGGGAAUUCAGACCAUCCACUGCCCUUCCCAUUCUCAUGUGAAACCCAGGUACUGCUUUAGAAAGUUCGUUCAUCUUCUAGCAGAGGCCUUUGUAAGCUGCUCAUCUGCAUUGAAACAGCAUGGUCAUCAGAACAGUGAAGAGGAAUAACAGCGACUUCACCAGGAAGCACAAUGGAAGCCCAAGUCGCUCCUAUUCCUAGUGUCCAGGAACAGCAUUAAAGAAGAUCAGAGAGACCACAAGAGCCAGAGAUCGGAGAGAAGCAGAGUGGAGCAGCGCCUUCCCCACAGGAGAAGACUUGCAUCUUGGUUACCUAUGUAAGACCUGUACAAGAUCAACUCUGUCAGCACUCCAGCAUCGAGGGUGGAGGGACCGAUGUGCCAUAAUCACUAUCUAAGGGGCUGUGGACUGUUGAUGGUUUCUGCUGAGGAAGUCAGUUUUGUUUAAGUGCAGUGGAAGAUCCUGUGACUGUUCCUGCUCACUGCGGACCAGAAUCCAGGACCAGCCCCGAAGUUUGCCCAAUUUGUGGUUGAAUCAUUGCUCAGAUUGUUAAGGGAGUAAAUACCAUGACUGCAAAGUAUCCUGGAACCUGAAAGAAGCAUGAAAAAUGGAGACUGUAGGAAUAAGUUUCUUAGUUUUGAGAAGGUUCAUUAUUGCUUCUCUGACCUCUGGUCCUUACAGGACAGAGUGUCACAUUCAGCACUGAAGCGUGGCCAGCAGUUACCACCUGGACAUUUUCAGGUGAGGUAUCCUUGGCGUUCCCUUAAUGUUACUCUAUCGGAGUACUGACAUCUUUUUCCAUUUUUCUUACUGGCUCAUUGGAUUUUCAGGAAACACCCGAGUUAUGCACACAUGCAUUAUUAUUAUCAAUAUUAGCAUGUAUGAAAUUCCAGAUUGUCAAUAUUGGAGAUCAAGCCUUAACACUUCAUAAUUAUUAGGUAAGUUCUCCGCUGCUCAGGUACAUUGGCAAUCCUAGCAGCUGCUUUAAAUUCCUAGGCAGUUCUUCCAUGCAGACCCCCAUUUGUUCAGUGUUUGGAACCUUAGUUUGAAUGUUAGGUGGGCAAG